CGUUUUCUUUGCAGGCGAUGGAAAUUCCUUCGACGACCGAAGCGGUAACUUCCGGUGCAAGCUUUCCGGUGGCGAAAUAAUCGAGAAAAAACAAAGGUCUUGCGCCUUGCACGAGAAUGUCGUUGACGCAGUGAUUAACGAGGUCUUGACCAAUUGUGUUAUGAAUACCCGUAUCGAAAGCGAUUUUUAGCUUUGUGCCGACGCCGUCAGCGGAAGCAACCAGAACGGGAGCGUGC
RNAcentral lists this unclassified non-coding RNA (236 nucleotides) under plant metagenome. RNAcentral describes it as "partial contains 5.8S ribosomal RNA, internal transcribed spacer 2, and large subunit ribosomal RNA". The record is from RNAcentral.